Molecule: ribosomal RNA, 254 nt
Filed under: uncultured bacterium
Lineage: Bacteria
Description: partial 16S ribosomal RNA
Rfam family: Bacterial small subunit ribosomal RNA
Source: RNAcentral
UACGUAGGGGGCUAGCGUUGUCCGGAAUCAUUGGGCGUAAAGAGCUCGUAGGCGGUUUCGUAAGUCGGAUGUGAAAACUCCAGGCUCAACUUGGAGACGCCAUUCGAUACUGCGAUGACUUGAGUCCGGUAGGGGAGUGUGGAAUUCCUGGUGUAGCGGUGAAAUGCGCAGAUAUCAGGAGGAACACCAGCGGCGAAGGCGGCGCUCUGGGCCGGUACUGACACUGAGGAGCGAAAGCGUGGGUAGCAAACAGG